GAAAUGCGAUAAGUAGUGUGAAUUGCAGAAUUCAGUGAAUCAUCGAAUCUUUGAACGCACAUUGCGCCCCUUGGUAUUCCAUGGGGCAUGCCUGUUCGAGCGUCAUUUGUACCCUCAAGCUCUGCUUGGUGUUGGGUGUUUGUCCCCGUCUCCGCGCGUGGACUCGCCCUAAAGUGAUUGGCAGCCGGCGUACUGGUCCCGGAGCGCAGCACAUGUCGCGCAAACGAGUGCCUUGGUACGGCGGCGUCCAUAAGCCCCUCUCUCACGCUCUUGACCUCGGAUCAGGUAGGGAUACCCGCUGAACUUAAGC
Molecule: unclassified non-coding RNA, 310 nt
Filed under: plant metagenome
Description: partial contains 5.8S ribosomal RNA, internal transcribed spacer 2, and large subunit ribosomal RNA
Rfam family: 5.8S ribosomal RNA (bases 1-105)
Source: RNAcentral